GGUCAAGCUACAAAGAGCUAACGGUGGAUA
This 30-nucleotide ribosomal RNA is filed under the name Phormidium sp. OL S6. Its description in RNAcentral is "partial 23S ribosomal RNA". Lineage: Bacteria; Bacillati; Cyanobacteriota; Cyanophyceae; Oscillatoriales; Oscillatoriaceae. The record is from RNAcentral.